CGCGUAGGUGGUAGUGCAAGUCUGAGGUGGAAUCCCAGGGCUUAACCCUGGAACUGCCUUGGAAACUGCACUACUUGAGUCAGUGAGGGGAGGGUAGAAUUCCUGGUGUAGCGGUGAAAUGCGUAGAUAUCAGGAGGAAGGCCGGUGGCGAAGGCGGCCCUCUGGCGCUGAACUGACACUGAGGCGCGAAAGCGUGGGUAGCAAACAGGAUUAGAUACCCUGGUAGUCCACGCCCUAAACGGUGGGUACUAGGUGUAGGGCUCGUAAGGGUUCUGUGCCGAAGCGAAAGCAUUAAGUACCCCGCCUGGGAGUACGGCCGCAAGGUUGAA
Molecule: ribosomal RNA, 329 nt
Filed under: uncultured bacterium
Lineage: Bacteria
Description: bacterial SSU rRNA
Rfam family: Bacterial small subunit ribosomal RNA
Source: RNAcentral